CCCGGGCCUUGUACACACCGCCCGUCACACCAUGGGAGGUGGAUUACCUUAAGACGGUGCGCCAACCGCAAGGGGGCAGCCGGCCACGGUAGUUUCAGCGACUGGGUG
Molecule: ribosomal RNA, 108 nt
Filed under: uncultured bacterium
Lineage: Bacteria
Description: partial 16S ribosomal RNA
Rfam family: Bacterial small subunit ribosomal RNA
Source: RNAcentral